UCAGGGAUGAAAAACAGUCAGGCUUUAUUGUUUACUACUUGUUGAGCAACCAGGACAACCAGGAAGGACAGAAUGACCUUUACCAAAUAAGACAGUACAGAAUUAUGUCCAACACAGUUUCUGGCAUAAAAAGAUGCUUAGUAAAGUUCAUCUCUUUCUCUGUUAUGCAGGAGACUUCAAGUUGAUCCAGUCUGUGAUCCAAUCCCAGCUUUUCCCCCUCCUAGCUCUGUGGCCUUACACAAAUUAGAUAACCUCUCUGAGUCUUAAGCUCCACAUCUACACAAAGGGCCAAUCACAUGACUUCAGAGGGCUGUCGUGAGGACUACGCAGUGCCUGGCACAUGAUAAGAAAACAGAAGUUCAAACAGAUUGAGUAACAAAGUGACAUAACCCAAAGUCAAACAGCCAAGACACAGAGGACCCUGGAAUUCAUUAUGAGUCUUCUGAAUAUAAAUGUGGUAUUCUCAGUAAGGCAGGGGAUGGCAUGAAAAAAAUCCUCUGCACUGUUGAUGGCAUGUUUUUUUUUUUUCCCUUUUCCUGGUAGUACUCAUGGAUGUGCAUUGAUUCACCGACAUUCUUUCACCUGUUUCGUGCCCCUUUGAAUGACCAACAGCAUAUAUGGCUCAUAUCAGGCUGGGAUUAGAAGAGCAAACUGCCAUUUGACAUAAUAAAUAAGCUAAGAAGUUCUCGUGAAUUACACAGAGACGAUGAAUAAAAUCUCUAUGUAUAA
This is a long non-coding RNA of Macaca mulatta (Rhesus monkey), 729 nucleotides long. RefSeq lists it as uncharacterized. The record is from RefSeq and is a predicted model, not a curated record. NCBI's taxonomy places the organism in Eukaryota, Metazoa, Chordata, Mammalia, Primates, Cercopithecidae.